UACGUAGGGGCCUAGCGUUGUCCGGAUUUAUUGGGCGUAAAGAGCUCGUAGGCGGUUCGGUAAGUCAGGUGUGAAAUCUCCACGCUCAACGUGGAGGCGCCACCUGAAACUGCCGUGACUCGAGUCCGGUAGGGGAGACUGGAAUUCCUGGUGUAGCGGUGAAAUGCGCAGAUAUCAGGAGGAACACCGGUGGCGAAGGCGGGUCUCUGGGCCGUAACUGACGCUGAGGAGCGAAAGCAUGGGGAGCGAACAGG
This 254-nucleotide ribosomal RNA is filed under the name uncultured bacterium. Its description in RNAcentral is "partial 16S ribosomal RNA". It matches the Rfam family "Bacterial small subunit ribosomal RNA", at positions 524 to 776 of the family's 1533-position model. The record is from RNAcentral.